UUUGGAUUCGUAUGAGGAAGAGUGAGCUUUCCACUGAGAAAAAUACUUGGAAGGCGUUAAUUCGCUGUGCUUCGUCCUUCAUUGAGACGAAGCUUCCGCCGAGGGGGUCGACGGCGGCGGAGGCGAGCGAGACAAGCAGAGACACAGGAAAUGUCUCUGGCCCUUUUCCAACCUCGCGUCGCCUCGGUACAAAGGCCAGACAAACGCGAGACGCGCGCGUGGACGGACAUCACACAUGACAAGAGUUGCUCCAGCGAAAGGUUGAAGCCCUUCUCGGGAGCGAGGCGGAGGCGUCUGGUCUCGCGAGGACCUCGAAUGCGGAGCUCUCCCUGGCGAAGUCUGGGGGCUCUACUGUCCGGUCGAGCGAGCUCGUAUUCAGCGUCGCUCUCUGUGCAGACUGAUGCGCGGACGGCUGGAAGCAGCAGCCAGAGAGAGGCCACGACGCGUACGAGACAAGCGCAAGUCGCCACCGAGGCAAGGAAGAAGGCAAGCGAAGAGCGAAGGCUGUUGUUGAGGGACGCACAGGCCGCCCUCGCAGCGAAGCAAGGCGGCUUCCGUGAGCCGCGACCUUCUGUCGGCCUUGUUGAAGAAGGAGAUCGGUCUGAGGAGAGACUGGAUGUCGCAAAAUCUCUCGCGGAAAGAGCUGCUGAACCAUUGGGUUAUAUCUCUCUGUCUGCAUGCACAAGAAGGAGCGCGCGCCUUCGCGCAUUUGCACGGCGCGUCUCUCACGGCGUUCUUCCGCGUCCUUUUUGCGGCUUUCCUC
Molecule: long non-coding RNA, 763 nt
Filed under: Toxoplasma gondii VEG
Lineage: Eukaryota; Apicomplexa; Conoidasida; Eucoccidiorida; Sarcocystidae
Source: RNAcentral